Molecule: ribosomal RNA, 468 nt
Filed under: uncultured bacterium
Lineage: Bacteria
Description: partial 16S ribosomal RNA
Rfam family: Bacterial small subunit ribosomal RNA
Source: RNAcentral
GACGAACGCUGGCGGCGUGCUUAACACAUGCAAGUCGAACGGAAAGGCCCUGCUUUUGUGGGGUGCUCGAGUGGCGAACGGGUGAGUAACACGUGAGUAACCUGCCCUUGACUUUGGGAUAACUUCAGGAAACUGGGGCUAAUACCGGAUAGGAGCUCCUGCUGCAUGGUGGGGGUUGGAAGGUUUCGGCGGUUGGGGAUGGACUCGCGGCUUAUCAGCUUGUUGGUGGGGUAGUGGCUUACCAAGGCUUUGACGGGUAGCCGGCCUGAGAGGGUGACCGGCCACAUUGGGACUGAGAUACGGCCCAGACUCCUACGGGAGGCAGCAGUGGGGAAGAUUGCACAAUGGGCGGAAGCCUGAUGCAGCAACGCCGCGUGCGGGAUGACGGCCUUCGGGUUGUAAACCGCUUUCGCCUGUGACGAAGCGUGAGUGACGGUAAUGGGUAAAGAAGCACCGGCUAACUACGUG